RNAcentral lists this ribosomal RNA (391 nucleotides) under uncultured bacterium. RNAcentral describes it as "bacterial SSU rRNA". It matches the Rfam family "Bacterial small subunit ribosomal RNA", at positions 28 to 404 of the family's 1533-position model. The record is from RNAcentral.
GAUGAACGCUAGCGAUAGGCCUAACACAUGCAAGUCGAACGGAGAUUAUUAAUGAAGCUUGCGAUUUAAUAAUCUUAGUGGCGGACGGGUGAGUAACGCGUGGGCAACCUACCCAUAAGCGGGGGAUAACAGUUGGAAACGACUGCUAAUACCGCAUAAGCUAUUAAGGUCGCAUGACCAUAAUAGUAAAGGUGGCGAAAGCUAUCACUUAUGGAUGGGCCCGCGUCUGAUUAGCUAGUUGGUGGGGCAGCGGCCUACCAAGGCAACGAUCAGUAGCCGACCUGAGAGGGUAAUCGGGCCACAUUGGAACUGAGACACGGUCCAAACUCCUACGGGAGCAGCAGUGGGAAUAUGCACAAUGGGCAAAGCCUGAUGCAGCAACGCCGCGUGA